CAGUCGCCGCGGGAAUACGGAGGGUGCAAGCGUUAAUCGGAACUACUGGGCGUAAAGCGCACGCAGGCGGUUUGUUAAGUCAGAUGUGAAAUCCCCGAGCUUAACUUGGGAACUGCAUUUGAAACUGGCAAGCUAGAGUCUUGUAGAGGGGGGCAGAAUUCCAGGUGUAGCGGUGAAAUGCGUAGAGAUCUGGAGGAAUACCGGUGGCGAAGGCGGCCCCCUGGACAAAGACUGACGCUCAGGUGCGAAAGCGUGGGGAGCAAACAGGAUUAGAUACCCGGGUAGUCCCUGUCUCUUAUAC
This 301-nucleotide ribosomal RNA is filed under the name uncultured bacterium. RNAcentral's name for it is "partial 16S ribosomal RNA". It matches the Rfam family "Bacterial small subunit ribosomal RNA", at positions 509 to 807 of the family's 1533-position model. The record is from RNAcentral.